RNA transcript from Cercocebus atys (sooty mangabey), 2628 nucleotides. It is a transcript of the gene named negative elongation factor E pseudogene, with no coding region annotated. The record is from RefSeq and is a predicted model, not a curated record. Lineage: Eukaryota; Metazoa; Chordata; Mammalia; Primates; Cercopithecidae. The transcript has a single exon.
UUUCAGAAGAUUUAUUUAUACUAUCAAUGCAUGUUUUAAAAUGCUGUUGUUUGAGUUGUAAGUAAAUAAUGAAAAAGGCAUUUUACGUGGCAUUGAAUCAGUCUGUUUCAGUUGUUCACCCUGGAUUUCUUUCAUUUAGUCAUCUUCUUCUUACUGCAAAGGAGGACAUUUGUUCAUUACUUUGCCUAAAUAAUACUAACAUACUAGCAGAUGGUCACUUUCCAACUGGUUUGUCUUCAGAAAAGAAAUUAAAAUAUUAUAGUGCCAGAGAGAGAUAUUAUAAUGCGUCCCUGUCAAAUUAACAGGUCAUUCUUUUCAACUGUUUUAUAACUGCAAAAUGGCUCAAUGUCACAUAAAAGGCUAAAAGCUAGAGUAAAUGGUAUCAUGGGAAAUAUGAAAUAAACACAGUGUAAUGAUUUAUAGUCUUUUCUUGAACACACUAGGAAUAUUUCUUUUCUAAAAAGACACAAAUUAUAUGCUACGGUAGUAUUUUGGUUGUACUGGAUUCUAGUUUAAUUAGUUCAUAUCAAAAGAUGGCAUUUGUUUUAAAACAUGUGUAUACAUUCUGAAAGAAGAUACUUCCCCCAAAACAUUUAAAAAUACCUUGAAUAUAUUUUUAAACGAAUAUGUUAGCCUAGCAAACAAUGAAAUGAAAACCAAAUAUGAAAAUAAUGUAUCUUCUUCCUGCCCUUUAAUGAAUGAUCUGUAACUCUGAUAAAAAGAUUAGUUUAGAGACUAUUGAAUUAUUUUAAUUCUAGGACCAGACUGAAAGUAGCAUUGUACAUUUAGAAAUGCAACAUAUGAGUAGAAUUGGAUCCCUAUGUGAUUGGGAAAUAAGCUGGAGAAACUGAAGUAUGCUUAAAACACAGAGUAAUUAGCGAGCAAGCUCAGGAAAAAAAAAUCUAAGAAUACUUAGAAGUAGUGUUUGAAGAACUAGGAUCAUCACAGUUUAAUUUAUUUGUUUUGAACUUUCUCUGUCACUGAAUUGCUGUGUAUCUUUGGGCAGUCACUUAGAUCAUUUCCCCAACUAGAACAUUAGCAAGUUGACUUAGACAGCUCUUAAGUCCUUUUUUUUGAAGUGUUAUAGCUAUUUGGUUGGUGAUCAAUUAAAAAAAAGUAUUUGCCUAAGUGAGCCAAGUAGAUUUAUAAUGAGAAAGAAGGAAGUUAUUAUAAUGAGUAUUCUUUAUAAUAUUAUUUAUUCUUCUGAAAAAAUCAAGUGAUAAUAGAAACCAAAAUAUAAAAUAUCAGAAUUCGAUUUGCAUUCCUUCUAAUUACUAGCACUGUGAACAAAAACAGGUCGUUUAGGUCAUCGUUGUGAGCCCGCUGUCAGCGGCCAGCGCGGGCGCGGCCGGAGACCGUGGGGCCUGCAGUGGCCGCCCCCUCAGGAGCCACCAUGUUGGUGGCUUCCGGACUGAGCGAGGAAGAGGAGGCUCUGCAGAAGAAAUUCAACAAACUCAAGAAAAAGAAAAAGGCACUGCUGACUCUGAAGAAGCAAAGUAGCAGCAGCACAACCAGCCAAGGCGGUGUCAAAUGCUCACUAUCAGAGCAGCCUGUCGUGGACACAGCCACAGCAACAGAGCAGGCAAAGCAGCUGGUGAAGUCAGGAGCCAUCAGUGCCAUCAAGGCUGAGACCAAGAACUCAGGCUUCAAGCGUUCUCGAACCCUUGAGGGGAAGUUAAAGGACCCCGAGAAGGGACCAGUCCCCACUUUCCAGCCGUUCCAGAGGAGCGUAUCUGCUGAUGAUGACCUGUGAGAGUCAUCCAGACGUCCCUAGAGGAAAUCUCUGUAUGAAAGCCUUGUGUCUUCUAGUGAUCGACUUUGAGAACUAGGGCCAGAUGGAGAAGAGGCAGAGGGCCCAGGGGCUGGUGAUGGUCCCCUCGAAGCUUUGACUGGGGCUCUGAAGAACGCAGUGGUGGCCACUCCUCAGCCUCCCCUCCCCGAAGCCGCAACCAUGAGAGGAACCGGGACAGAGACCAAGAUCGAGAUAGAGACCGAGGGCAGGACAGGGAUCGGGAUCGGGAUGGAGAUCGAGACCGGGAACGGGACAGGGAUCGGGAUCGGGAUCGAGAUCGAGACCGGGAACCGGACAGGGAUUGGGAUCCGGAGCGGCAUUGAGACCGAGACCGAGAGGGUCCUUUCCGCAGGUCGGACUCAUUCCUUGAACCGCGAGCCCCUAGGAAAGGGAAUACUCUAUGUAUAUGGAGAAGACUUGAUGCCUGCCCUUCUCUGUGGGGCCUUCUCUCCUUUUGGAAACAUCAUUGACCUCUCCAUGGACUCACCCAGAAACUGUGCCUUCGUCACCUAUGAAAAGAUGGAGUCAGCAGAUCAGGCGGUUGCUGAGCUCAACGGGACCCUGGUGGAGUCUGUACAGCUCAAAGCCAACAUAGCCGGGAAACAGCCCAUGCUGGAUGCCGCUACUGGCAAGUCUGUCUGGGGCUCCCUUGCUGUCCAGAACAGCCCUAAGGGUUGCCACCGGGACAAGAGGACCCAGAUUGUCUAGAGUGAUGACGUCUACAAGGAAAACCUUGUGGAUGGCUUCUAGGGAACAGAGCUGGAUUCCUUGUGUCUCAUAUGCCCCAAUGCUGGUCUCAGUAAAACACUGACAUGGAAGCUUAAAAAAAAAAAAAA